UUCAAGAAAUUUUGGAGGUUAGGAACGCUAUCUAAGCUUUGUUUGCGUGGCACUGCAAUUAAGGAGCUGCCUGCUUCUAUUUUAAAUCUCACCAGUCUUGAUAUUUGAAACUGAAUGAUUGCAGAGAUUUGAGAGUCUUCCAGAUCAAUUUCUCACAUGAAAUCUCUUAAAUACUUGAUGUUUCUGGAUGCUCAAGAUUGAGAAGUUUCCAGAAAUUUUGGAGGUUAUGAAGGAGCUAUCUGAGCUUUGUUUGGAUGGCACUGCAAUUAAGGAGCUGCCUGCUUCUAUUUUAAAUCUCACCAGUCUUGGUAGGUUGAGGCUGAAUAUUGCAGAGAACUUGAGAGCUUCCAAGCAUCAUUUCUCAUGAAUCUCUUAAAUACCUUGAUGUUCUGGAUGCUCAAAGAUUGAGAAGUUUUCAGAGAAUUUUGGAGGUUAGGAACGAGCUAUCUAUCUUGUUUGGGGGCACUGCAUUAAGCCUGCCUGCUUCUAUUUUAAAUCUCACCAGUCUUGUUACUUUGAAUUUGAAUGAUUGCAGAGAACUUGAGAGUCUUCCAAGCAGCAUUUCUCACAUGAAAUCUCUUGAAUACCUUGAUGUUUCUGGAUGCUCAAAGCUUGAGAAGUUUCCAGAAAUUUCAGAGGUUAUGAAGGAGCUAUCUGAGCUUUUUUUGGAUGACACUGCAAUUAAGGAGCUGCCUGCUUCUAUUUUAAAUCUCACCAGUCUUGAUACUUUGAAUCUGCAUGAUUGCAGAGAACUUCAGAGUCUUCCAAGCAGCAUUUCUCACAUGAAAUCUCUUAAAUACCUUGAUGUUUCUGGAUGCUCAAACCUUGAAAAGUUUCCAGAAAUUUUGGAGGUUAUGAAGAAGCUAUCUCAGCUUUGUUUGGAUGGCACUGCAAUUAAGGAGCUGCCUGCUUCUAUUUUAAAUCUCAACAGUCUUGUUAGGUUGAGGCUGAAUAAUUGCAGAGAACUUGAGAGUCUUCCAAGCAGCAUUUCUCACAUGAAAUCUCUUGAAUACCUUGAUGUUUCUGGAUGCUCAAAGCUUGAAAAGUUUCCAGAAAUUUUGGAGGUUAUGAAGAAGCUAUCUGAGCUUUGUUUGGAUGCACUGCAAUUAAGGAGCUGCCUGCUUCUAUUUUAAAUCUCAUCAGUCUUGUUAGGUUGAGGCUGAAUAAUUGCAGAGAACUUGAGAGUCUUCCAAGCAGCAUUUCUCACAUGAAAUCUCUUAAAUACCUUGAUGUUUCUGGAUGCUCAAAGCUUGAGAAGUUUCCAGAAAUUUCAGAGGUUAUGAAGAAGCUAUCUGAGCUUUGUUUGGGUGGCACUGCAAUUAAGGAGCUGCCUGCUUCUAUUUUAAAUCUCAUCAGUCUUGUUAGGUUGAGGCUGAAUAAUUGCAGAGAACUUGAGAGUCUUCCAAGCAGCAUUUCUCACAUGAAAUCUCUUGAAUACCUUGAUGUUUCUGGAUGCUCAAAGCUUGAAAGUUUCCAGAAAGUUUUGGAGGUUAGGAAGAAGCCUAUCUGAGCUUUGUUUGGGUGGCACUGCAAUUAAGGAGCUGCCUGCUUCUAUUUUAAAUCUCAUCAGUCUUGUUUGGUUGAGGCUGAAUAAUUGCAGAGAACUUGAGAGUCUUCCAAGCAGCAUUUCUCACAUGAAAUCUCUUAAAUACCUUGAUGUUUCUGGAUGCUCAAAGAUUGAGAAGUUUCCAGAAAGUUUGGAGGUUAGGAAGGAGCUAUCUGAUCUUUGUUUGGGUGGCACUGCAAUUAAGGCGCUGCCUGCUUCUAUUUUAAAUCUCACCAGUCUUGUUACUUUGAAGUUGAAUGAUUGCAGAGAACUUGAGAGUCUUCCAAGCAUCAUUUCUCACAUGAAAUCUCUUGGAUACCUUGAUGUUUCUGGAUGCUCAAAGAUUGAGAAGUUUCCAGAAAUUUUGGAGGUUAUGAAGGAGCUAUCUAUUCUUUGUUUGGGUGGCACUGCAAUUAAGGAGCUGCCUGCUUCUAUUUUAAAUCUCACCAGUCUUGAUACUUUGAAACUGAAUGAUUGCAGAGAACUUGAGAGUCUUCCAAGCAUCAUUUCUCACAUGAAAUCUCUUAAAUACCUUGAUGUUUCUGGAUGCUCAAAGCUUGAGAAGUUUCCAGAAAUUUUGGAGGUUAUGAAGAAGCUAUCUGAGCUUUGUUUGGGUGGCACUGCAAUUAAGAAGCUGCCUGCUUCUAUUUUAAAUCUCACCAGUCUUGGUAGGUUGAGGCUGAAUAAUUGCAGAGAACUUGAGAGUCUUCCAAGCAGCAUUUCUCACAUGAAAUCUCUUAAAUACCUUGAUGUUUCUGGAUGCUCAAAGCUUGAAAAGUUUCCAGAAAUUUUGGAGGUUAGGAAGAAGCUAUCUGAGCUUUGUUUGGGUGGCACUGCAAUUAAGGAGCUGCCUGCUUCUAUUUUAAAUCUCAUCAGUCUUGUUAGGUUGAGGCUGAAUAAUUGCAGAGAACUUGAGAGUCUUCCAAGCAGCAUUUCUCACAUGAAAUCUCUUAAAUACCUUGAUGUUUCUGGAUGCUCAAAGAUUGAGAAGUUUCCAGAAAUUUUGGAGGUUAGGAAGGAGCUAUCUGAUCUUUGUUUGGGUGGCACUGCAAUUAAGGAGCUGCCUGCUUCUAUUUUAAAUCUCACCAGUCUUGUUACUUUGAAUUUGAAUGAUUGCAGAGAACUUGAGAGUCUUCCAAGCAGCAUUUCUCACAUGAAAUCUCUUGAGUACCUUGAUGUUUCUGGAUGCUCAAAGAUUGAGAAGUUUCCAGAAAUUUUGGAGGUUAGGAACGUGCUAUCUAAGCUUUGUUUGGGUGGCACUGCAAUUAAGGAGCUGCCUGCUUCUAUUUUAAAUCUCACCAGUCUUGUUACUUUGAAUUUGAAUGAUUGCAGAGAACUUGAGAGUCUUCCAAGCUGCAUUUCUCACAUGAAAUCUCUUGAAUACCUUGAUGUUUCUGGAUGCUCAAAGCUUGAGAAGUUUCCAGAAAAUUUGGAGGUUAUGAAUGAGCUAUCUGAGCUUUGUUUGGGUGGCACUGCAAUUAAGGAGCUGCCUGCUUCUAUUUUAAAUCUCACCAGUCUUGUUACUUUGAAGUUGAAUGAUUGCGGAGAACUUGAGAGUCUUCCAAGCAUCAUUUCUCACAUGAAAUCUCUUAAAUACCUUGAUGUUUCUGGAUGCUCAAAGCUUGAGAAGUUUCCAGAAAUUUUGGAGGUUAGGAAGGAGCUAUCUAAGCUUUGUUUGGGUGGCACUGCAAUUAAGAAGCUGCCUGCUUCUAUUUUAAAUCUCACCAGUCUUGAUACUUUGAAACUGAAUGAUUGCAGAGAACUUGAGAGUCUUCCAAGCAGCAUUUCUCACAUGAAAUCUCUUAAAUACCUUGAUGUUUCUGGAUGCUCAAAGCUUGAGAAGUUUCCAGAAAUUUUGGAGGUUAUGAAGAAGCUAUCUGAGCUUUGUUUGGGUGGCACUGCAAUUAAGAAGCUGCCUGCUUCUAUUUUAAAUCUCACCAGUCUUGGUAGGUUGAGGCUGAAUAAUUGCAGAGAACUUGAGAGUCUUCCAAGCAUCAUUUCUCAGAUGAAAUCUCUUGAAUACCUUGAUGUUUCUGGAUGCUCAAAUCUUGAGAAGUUUCCAGAAAUUUCAGAGGUUAUGAAGGAGCUAUCUAUUCUUUGUUUGGGUGGCACUGCAAUUAAGGAGCUGCCUGCUUCUAUUUUAAAUCUCACCAGUCUUGUUACUUUGAAUUUGAAUGAUUGCAGAGAACUUGAGAGUCUUCCAAGCAGCAUUUCUCACAUGAAAUCUCUUGAGUACCUUGAUGUUUCUGGAUGCUCAAAGAUUGAGAAGUUUCCCGAAAAUUUGGAGGUUAUGAAGAAGUUUCUCACAUGAAAUGUACUAAAAAAUGGUCUCUUGCAUUAUAGGGAGAAUGAACAACUAUCCAAGUAUGGAGAUGCAAAGUUUGCCCGGGCAAUCAUGUUAGUAGAACUUAAGAAACUGAUUGAAGUGAAUUCGUUAUUCAGUGAUAUAUUGCAGUUCCCAAACCGUAAGCGUUCGAGGAUACCGACUCUCAUUAACCAAGGGUAAUUACUCUGAAACCACGACUUCGGUUAUACAAGAUUAGCUGUGCACUACAUUGUGACUUAUGGAUGUUGUUGCAUAUACUGGUAUUGUUCUAAUGAUUCCACGUAGCGAAUGAGUGCUUUUGUUUUCUGUUGCACUCAGAAUGAGAAUUUCAUCAAGUUGAUAGCACUAGCUAUCGUUUACAUACAUUGUACAUUGUCUAUAUGGCUAUCAAAAAGGGGGUUAUGGCUUGAAUUCUGUGGAAACAAAAUGAAGUCCUUAAUAUUGUUGCAAUGCCCAAAUCAUGUGCCUUUGUAAGAACCCAAGACCAUGUACAAGUAUAGAAACACUUUAUGUGAAUCACUCGUGUGGACAACCAAACCAUGCACAGGCACCAUCACGUGCAAACAACACCGCUGCUUGGAAUCAAAGAGGGUGCGGUCAUGAUGACGUCUCUGAGUAAGGAGCUCGUGUUCCUGAUCUUGCAGUUUCUGGAUGAGGAAAAAUUCAAAGAGACUAUUCUCCACAGGUAGGGCUGAUUUAUGUAUCUUUAAUUAAUGCGUUUUUGUUGGCACAAUUGCUAAUUAUGUACUGAUAUACUGCGUCAUUAAUUGCCUUUGUGAUGUAAAUACUAAAUAGGCUAGAGCAGGAAUCUGGGGUUUUCUUCAAUACGAAAUAUUUUGAGGAUGAGGUGCAUAAUGGCAAUUGGGAUGAAGUUGAGAACUACCUCUCUGGGUUCACUAAAAUGGAAGAUAACAGUUAUUCCAUGAAAAUCUUUUUCAAGAUAAGGAAGCAGAAGUAUCUCGAGGCAUUGGACAAGUAAGCUUACAGUAUUUCAAUUUCAGUUCAUUGAUAACUUUCAUGGGUUGGAUUGCCUGGCCGGUCUUGAGGAAUUAUAUGGUUGAAUUACAUAUAAUGUGCCUGUUUGGACUUUAUAGGCAUGAUUGGUCCCAAGCCUUGGAUAUUCUAGUAAAGGAUUUAAAGUUUUUUGCCACAUUCGAUGAACUUUCGGGGGAAAUCGCUCAGCUUUCGACAUUGUAAAACUUUAGGUAUGAGAAUUCCAUUAUAUGAAUAGUCUCUGUAGAAAACAGUUGUAGCAAAUGCACUAAAAAAUUCUCUUGCAUUAUAGGGAGAAUGAACAACCAUCCAAGUAUGGAGAUUCAAAGUCUGCCAGGGCAAUCAUGUCGGUUGAACUUAAGAAACUGAUUGAAGCAAAUCCCUUAUUCAGUGAUAAAUUUCAGUUCCCAAACUUAAAGCGUUCGAGGCUACGUACUCUCAUUAACCAAGGGUAAUUACUCUGAAACCACGACUUCAGUUAUAUAAGAUUAGCUGUGCACUUCAUUGUGACGUGCGGAUGUUGUUGCAAAUACUGGUCUUGCUCUAAUGAUUCCACGUACGGAAUGAGUGCUUUUGUCUUCUGUUGCAUUCAGAAUGAGCAUUUCAUCAACUAGCUAAUGAGUUUAUCGUUUAAGUACAUUGUCGAUUUGGAUAUCAAAAAGUUGGUUAUGGCUUGAAUUCUGUGGAAACAAAAGGAAGUCAUUAUUAUUGUUGCAAUGCCUAAAUCAUGUGCCUUAAUCUUAAUUUAGUAUAUGGUUCAUUACUGCUUGAUUCCAGCGUCUGGUGUCAAGAUUCUUUUAUUUGUUAGUGACCGGUGUCAGAAGUUUCCACACACCAGUAACAAUUAUUUGUGCAAAUUAUGACCUUUCUGGCAGCAUAAGCUUUUGUAAGAAUCCAAGUCCAGAUCUAGUUAUAGAAACACUUUAUGUGGACAACUGAACCGUGCACGGACAGCAUCACCUGCAAACAACCCGCUGCUUGGAUCCUUACCAAAAGCUGGAGGGUAUCCCCCACUAGGUGGGUGCACAUGAAGUAAGUAAUCUAGCUUAACUGUUGAUACACUACUUAAGCAGACACUUUGUUGUUAUUAACUUUUUGUUGAUGUGAUUGGCUUUGCAUUGUCAGCAUUUUCAACCUACACCAGCCCCGGUUCCAAUACCCCUUUCAACUGUUACUCAUCCAGCAUUUCUGAAGGAGGAGGUAUUGCUCUUGCUGGUCCAUCGAUAACAGGUAUUGCUUUUGUUAAUACUCAAGCACUUAGUUUUCAUAUAUCAUGAUCCCGGUAAGAUGGUUCUUGAUUGUGGUGUUUCAUGAUCCCAAUAAGAUGGUUUUUAAUUGUGGUGUUUCAUUACCUUGUAUAGAUGCCUUGAAACAUCCAAGGACUCCCCAACUAAUCCUUCUGUGGAGUACCCGUCUUGGGAUUCUUAUCAUGUUUCUAAAAGAACAAGGCUGAUGGGGCUGUCUACUGAAGUAUGUACAUAUUUGAUCUUUGAACGAUGAUCUCUAUAUUCGUCCACAUUUACCUUUUAUUUGUACUUGACAGUUUGUUCUUUAGUGCAGGUUAAUCUCCCUGUUAACAUGUUGCCAGUAACAUUUUCAGGACACGGUCAUGGUCAAGCUUUGAAUGCACCUGAUGACUUGCCUAAGAAUGUCACUCAGGACUUUGAAUCAGGGUUCAUCUCCGAUGAGCAUGGAUUUUCAUCCUUCACAGCGGACUUUUCUUCUUGGUUUGUAUUUUUUAUGUUUUCAAGUAGCUCCUUAUAUUUAUUUGUGUACCUUCGGGCUCUACAGCUAUGUUUGCUAAUUGGGUUUUUUUUUUCCCUUGGAUGCUUGGUUAUCAUAAUUGACUGUUGAUUGUUCUCAAUGUGAUGCUUCAGUUGGUACCAAUGUGGGGGACGUAGGCCUGUGGGAAGUUGGAUCUAGGGAGCGACUAGUUUUAAGGAACUUCAAAGUAUGGGAUCUUAGUUCAUGCUCAAUGCUCCUGCAGGUCUUUCCCUUUCUAUACUUGUUCAUGUGACAUAAAAAUUGUGUGCACUGUAUUCGUUGUGGAUGUAUGAGUUGGUUGACUGAAAAGUAAAUUUGUCUUUGUGAAACAGGCUGCUCUAGUUAAGGAUGCUGGUGUGUCUGUUAACCGUGUGAUUUGGAGCUCUGAUGGUGCUUUAUUUGGUAAGCUUGAGCAAACUCAAGUAACUGUGGCAAAUGUGAUAUGGCUUUAUCAAUUUUUAAGGAUUGAAUUAGAUCCUAAUCGUUGUAUAUCAUUUACAAUCCAAUCGUAGGUUGUUGGGAACAAUUGAGAAUCAUCUUUCUUACGAUGGGUCUGAUGGACGAUAAUUACUCUGAUCGAUUGCUUCCUGAUUGUUUGUGAUCACUGCCUGCUGUAAUCCCUGCAGAAAUCAUAUCUGUUAAAAUACCUUCCGUAUAUGCAUUUUCUGUAUACAAAGUCGACUUGUACAUUGAGGCUUUAUUAGCCUAUAUAAUGAAUGAAGAUCACAACCUCAAUUCACUGAGGAAUUCAACCACAUAGCUGUUAUGCCAUUAACUCCAUGAUGUAAAAUCAAUGGUCACAGGCACAAGUGCCGAUGAUGGGGGUUUUGUGGCUGUGGCAGUGGGUCUUCUCUAGGGUUUUUCUUCGCACACCCUAAGAGAGAGAAAAAUCAUGUUGAAAGAAAAUUUUCCAUUCAGAUUUUUCAUUUUUUAUUAAGAUAAUUAAAAUCUAAUUUAAAUAUGGGUUAUUGGCCCAAAAAAAUUAAUUCGGUUGACCAAAGUUUUUUUUUUUAUUAUUAUUAUUGGCGAGUCGUCUAUUGCUGUUUUAAGAAUAGCAUUAAAAUCAAAUAUGUUCUGUGACUGAAUGAAAUGCAAAUUACUCUAUGGUAAAGCUGGAGUGGAAAACACUGUUCAUUAACAGUGUUUUCACGAAAAUGCCCUUCAUUUUUUCCGUUAUUCCCUGCUUUUUUCUAACGUUGAACUUUAUGUUCAGAAAAUUGCCCUUAGUUACCUCUUGGCUGAGUGCUCACACGUGUUACGGGGGACGGGUGGAAUCUUUAUCAUCGUAGAAAUCGCUAAUCUCUUCGAUUUCUUUAUUUACUUGCUAACUGUGUUGACUUGACAACUGCUUUCGUUUCAUUUUUAGAAUGAAAAUUUGAAUUUUGUGCGUGUGUGCAGUGAAAGUCAUUAAAUCAUUGUUCAAAAAAAUCGACAGCGCUAAACGACUGGUCAUUAUCACAAUUAAUUUGUUGGUGUUUUAAAAUUGAGAAAUAACAUCUAGAUCUGUUUAGACAUCUGCUUUGCUUGCCCAAUGCUCGCUUAGCAUGCCUUGGUUGUGACCAUCACUUAUACAAAAAAUUAAUAAUUUUUAUUUUACAUUUUAUUUUUUAUUUUUUCAAUAAAAUGUAAGAGACUUGUUGAAUACUCGAAUGAACACUCAUUAUAUAUUUGUUCCAAUGUUCUCAAUAUAUUUUAAUACCUUAUAAUGAGGACUUUAAUGAAAAGGGCUUGGACUAAGACUAUUUUAAUAAAAAACCAGUCUAUAUUUUUAUUUAACUAAAAGCACCUCAAAAUUAACCAUAAGGACAUACCUGCAAAUUCUACACAGGCUGAAUUACAAAGCCCAAAAUGUUCAAAAUUAAGGUUCCAAAAUUAUCCCUAACAGAAAGAAUCUGCAGCCCGUUAAAAACUUCAAUAUAAUUACAACCCUACCCCCCACGUUGGCACGAUCUCACCGACUGAGAUUAUAUAACUUUUGGCACUGAAUCAAUGAUACAGAUUUCAAUUAAUUUUGAUCAAUGAUUGUUGCCCCACCGUUUCCUAUCUUCAGCAUAAAUUGGUUGUGUGUGUGUGUAUGUGUGUGUGUAUAAAAUACUACUGUCGGCUGCCUGGUGUAGGCAUAUUGUGACACACCCCGACCUAAAUCAGGACAUAUUGGUCAUCAUAUGGGUGUGACGUAACCAUGUGCACAGUGCGGAAGCAAUAGAGAUUUAAGGGAAUUGCGAAGGAAUAAAAACCAAACUACUAGCAAAACUAGUUAAGAUAGAGUGUUAGUGCGAGAUUAAACGUGAAAUACACAACCAGAGCAUAAAUAGUCUAAGUGCAGUCAAGCAGGACAAGUACUAAUAAUACAACACUCAAGGGUGAUCCUAUAUGGUGAUGUUGUAACCUGUAAAAAAAGUGAAGAAGCCUUGAUGUAGGACAGAAGUCUGAUUAUUUCAUGUGCAAUAAAACUAAAAGAAGGAAGCGGCGAGCAAUAAAGAAAAGUGAUUGGAGAAUUGAUAAUUCACGUGUUAAUAGAUUAUUUGCUACGGUCAUAUCUCAGAAGUUGAUGUUUUGAACUUUUCUUGUUGAAUGAACGCUAUUUUCAUUUCUGGUGCGGUUGUAGAAGAGGUGUUCAAUACUCCCACAAAAGUGGCUUGAGCCAUCUUUUGCAGAAAGUCAUUAAGACAGCAGCCUACUAAUAAAUGUAAUCUUUUGGGGUUUCAAGGGCUUUAUUAUAUGUUAGUUAUUUUCAUUUUAAUUUCCUAAGUCUUUUGAGUUUCCCAAAAGGUUGUAAAAGGCUUAUUUAAGCCAUGGCUUUCUAAUCAUUUCGACAUAUUUCAAUCAAUUAAUCAAAUUAUCCCUUGGGAUUUCUAUCAAUUGGUGGACUCUAGGGACUCUAGUAACUUUGUUCUACAAGGGAUUACGCUGGUAACCCUUUCAUUGCUUCGUGCUGCGUCAAUUGGUACCAGAGCGGGUUUCUCCCGUCUUGGCAUUGUUGAUUAUCCUAUUUGCUCUGUUCUAAUGGCAAUCGAUCGUGGGAAAAGGUAUACCUUAAGUGACGUUGAUCGCGAGGUUGUUACAAUAGAUGUGGUGUGCACAAAGGGAGCCAAUCUCAUAUAGUUGAUGUUGAAGAUAUUCCUAUUUUCUUCGGAAGUGAUUGCAUUGAAGGUUUUCUCUAGUGGGUUGAGGAUGUAGAAAAACUUUUCAAGACACAACCAAUUCCGGAAAGAGAUAUGGUGAAGAUGGUUACUUCUUGUUUAGAUGGUGACGUGGUUUUAUGGUGUGAUCAUAUGCAAGAAUCUAGGCGACAACAAGGUAAAUGUCCUAUCCAAACUUGGCGUUGGUUGAAGCGACUAAUUGUUAAGCAAUUCUUUUCCGAUUUAUACGAAUUGUAUUUGGAAAAGACGGGUCAACCAAUCAUCAGAAAAGAAGCUAAAGUGAUGGAGAGUGAUAUAUCAUUAUGCCAAGAAACGGUGGAGGCCAAGGUGGAAGAAAAAGAACAAGUAAUUUUCCUUGGUGAAAAUCUCGUUGAUGAAGAUCUCCGGAAACAUGACAACUCAGAAGUGGAGACUCAAGAAAUUCAAGGUAUGAGUGAAUCAAAAUUUGUCAUGACUUUGGAGAAUCAUGAGUCUAGUAAAUUGGAUCUAAAUUCUAUCGUUGACCAAACAAGAUAAUUGGGUAAGGAAGAAUAUUUUGAUUCCCAAUUGCCAUAUUUCAAUCUUAUUUAUGGAAUUAAUUUCAUGAUUAUUCCACCCAAGUAUACGGAAAGUUGGGCUUCUCAAGUUGAAGAACUUAUUUUCUUAACAAGGGAGUUAUCUACUAGCUAUCAAGACCGUUUCAAGACGAACUCGAGGUCGAGUUCCUUUCAAGUGGAGGAGUCUGAUGUAGGACAGAAAUCUGAUUAUUUCACGUGCAAUAAAACUAAAAGAAGGAAGCGGCGAGCAAUAAAGAAAAGUGAUUGGAGAAUUGGUAAUUCACGUGUUAAUAGAUUAUUUGGUACGGUCAUAUCUCAAAAGUUGAUGUUUUGAACUUUUCUUGUUGAAUGAACGCUACUUUCAUUUCUGGUGCGGUCGUAGAAGAGGUGUUCAAUUCUCCCACAAAAGUGGCUUGAGCCAUCUUUUGCAGAAAGUCAUCAAGACAGCAGCCUACUAAUAAAUGAAGUCUUUUGGGGUUUCAAGGGCUUUAUUAUAUGUUAGUUAUUUUCAUUUUAAUUUCCUAAGUCUUUUGAGUUUCCCAAAAGAUUGUAAAAGACUUAUUUAAGCCAUGGCCUUGUAAUCAUUUCGACGUCUUUCAAUCAAUUAAUCAAAUUAUCCUUUAGGAUUUCUAUCAACUGGUGGACUCCACUAACUUUGUUCUACAAGGGAUUACGCUGGUAACCCUUUCAUUGCUUCGUGCUGCGUCAAGCUUUUUCCAAAAAAAAAAACAAAAAUAAAUGCACCUAGAAAUUCAAAAUAAGAAAAAUAAAUAAUAGACUCAAUGUGGAGAUCAAUGUGAAGAUCAAUUGAGUGUUUCAGUUCUUACUUUACUCUUAGAUACUCGAUCGCUUAAUGGCUGCUGCUGCAUCUUCUUCUUCUAGCGGUUGCCACAAUUAAUUGCUGGCACCAACCUGUGGGUUCAAUUAGCAAUUACUGUGAGUAAAAACUGCAGUUUUACUUUAUGCUGCAACAUGCAGGGGACAAGUAUCUAAACCAGCUGCAACAUAUCAGACGGAGUUUGGAGGCUUGGCGUGGAAGGACGGAGUUCACAGGGUAAUUACUUUAUGCUGCAAGUUUAAUCCUAAUGCGCAUUUUGCAAUAGUUUUUAGCAGUGGAGCCUAAAGAUGGUCAGUUUUGGUCUAUUAUAUGCUCUACCUCUGUAUCUAAUUUCUUUUUUUGUUAUCAAUAAUGUUUUUUUGUAUCACCGUAAUUAAAAAAAAAAUGAUCCACCCCUAUAUGCUUCGGUGAAAUUCCUAAGAAUUAUAUUAGAACGCCACUUAAUAGUUUAUACGACGAUCUAAUAGAUUUUGGUCCUAAGUUGAAUCUUGUAAAUAGCUAAAUUAUUUACCACUGAUCUUGAAUAACUGUUUGUAAUUAUCCUUUCACAUUUGGGUCUUUUCCCCAAUCACUUUUGUUUAUUGUGGUUGUUGCCAUGCUACUUCUCAAAUGCUUCCACAUUUCAACCUAAAAUAAUGCAUUAUUGACAGUUGAAUAGUCAUUGUUAUAAUCUAUUGGAUAGUCUUUGUCAUUUUGUGUUUGUUUCUUUUCUCUUUCCCUCUCUUUCACUGCACCUUCCCUGUGGAGCCAAAAAUAUUCACUAGGCGACACGUGGACUUUUGGACAAAAGAGGACAAAAAUACCCUCGAGGCAUACUGGGUUUCCUACACGCGAGCAGUAGAGAAUCAUUUUUUCAACCAAGUCAAAAGUGCCCAAAAUAGGUAUCAACUUAAAACCUAAUUUAUUCAUAUAUUUCCCAUUUCAUUAUUUAGCUAAUCAAUUAGCUAAAUAAUAUACUUAUUCCUUUCAUAUUUCAUAAAAUCAUAAUAAUUGACUAAUUAAGGGAUUAAUUACCUAAUCAAUCCCUUAAUUGUCAAUUUGAAACAUCCACUCAAACCUAAAAACACAAGAGGGCCGGCUAUCCCAUUGAAAAACCUAAUCCAUUACCUUUUUUCUACCUUUUCCCACCAUUUCUUCCUUUUUAUUAGCCAAUUAUACAAAAAACCACCAAAACAUUCAUUUUAUGUUUAAUAGCCAAAUAAAUUGGCUAAUUAAACCUAAAAACCCUAGCCACCUCCUAUCCCUAUAAAUAUACUCCCAUUCUCACCAAAAAGCUAAUUCCAACACUUUGGCAAAAAUCCCAAAAUUCUCUAAACACUCUUUCUCUCUAAAUUCUAACUUUGGCAUCGGAGGUUCUUCGGCCAAAGCCCCCCCAUUCAUCGUGGGCGCGUGAGGCUCUUGGCCUUAACCUAAGGUGUUAAUUGUUUUGUAGGUGCAAAAUCGUCCAAGAUCGAGGAGGAAGAAAUUUGCAUCCACAAAUUGGUGCUUUCAUUGAGAGUUGAAAUCCAUACUCGUAGAAGACUCUCGCACAAAAAAGGUUUUUUCUUUAUUUUCUAGUCCAUUUGAAUAUUUUUCAUACGUUUUUAUUAUUAGAAUUUUUUACUUGCAAAGGUUCUUUGAUAAAACGUAUAAGCGAAAUAUAAUGGCUAGAAAUUUAGAAAAUUCCACAAGUGAAAAUUCUAAUGUUCAAGAAAUGGGAUUGCGGAGAUCCGUGAUGCUAAAUGCGACAAUAAGGGGAGCGGCAUCAUCAUCACGAGCUUCAACCAUGGGAACCACCGUGGUGGCUACUUCGGUAGCUACCUGCGGCGAGGUCCAUGGUGCCUUCACCACGGCCACCAUGGGAACCACCGCGGUGGCUACUUCGGUAGCCACUCGUGGCGAGGUCCAUGGAGCCUUCACCACGACCCGGAGAUCCGUAAGGCAAAAUGCGACAAUAAGGGGAGCGGCAUCAUCACCACGAGCUUCCACCAUGGGAACCACCGUGGUGGCUACCUCGGUAGCCACCCACGGCGAGGUCCAUGAUGCCUUCACCACGGCCACCAUGGGAACCACCACGAUGGCUACUUCGGUAGCCACUCGUGGCGAGGUCCAUGGAGCCUUCACCACGGCCCGAGCCGUGCCAUCCAAGGCUCACGGUACCAAGACCACGAUCCAAGCCGUGUCAUCCAAGUUCACGUGGACCCAAGCCCAAGCCUCGCAUUCACAUGCACCGCGCAUUGAGCAGCCUGCUCCCGUGAUCCAGCCUGCUCCCGUCGAGCAACCCACUCCCGUGGCCCAGCCUGCUCCUGCCAAGCAGCCCACUCCCGUGGCCCAGCCUACUCCUGCCAAGCAGCCUACUUCCGUGGCCCAGCCUGCUCCCGCCAAGCAACCUGCUCCUGCCAAGCAGCCUGCUUCCGUGGCCCAGCCUGCUCCCGCCAAGCAACCUGCUCCUGCCAAGCAGCCUGCUCUCGUGACCCAGCCUGCUCCCAACGAGCAGCCCACUCCCGACGAGCAGCCCACUCUCAAGGCCCACACUGCUCCCGUGGCUUUCCAAGCAGCCCAAGUCGGCCCAAAACUAUCUCAACCAUCUGGACCUACCAUCGAGCCGGGGGCAUUCUCACCACAUUUUUUUGCGGAUUUGACAUUUCCCAACUCAAAUCUCGCGCCCGGAGUCUACCACCCUUCCACUGCUCAAUGAGGCGCAUUCAUUCCAAGCUCUUCCAAUCCAAAUGGUGAACAACAUUUGUCUCGACAAGUCAUAGAGUUGACGAGCGCCCUUGCACAACAGACAACUUUGGUGAAUCAACUUUUGCAACGCAUCGGGAUCCAACGUGCCCCGGACGAGGUAUCCCGAAGUAGGACAAGGGCAGACGAACCUUUCCAGCAGCAUCCCAGCAAGCAGCCAUUCGACCAGCCACGAGCUGAACGUUCAGGCAGUGUACAUUCCCGAUUGGGCCCCCGAGAUAGCGUAUACUCCCGUUUUAGCGCGCGGAUGAGCGUGUACUCUCGACUAAGCCAACGGAUGAGCAUACAUUCACGGUUGGGGUCACACUUCGAUAGUCAACAUGAGCAACCUUCCAGACAAAUUGUUCAUUCGCGGCUAAGCCCACAAGGAGCAUCAUCCACCUCACAUCAGAAUAGGCAGCACGACGGACGGAGAGAAGCAGUCACUCAAUCCAGCUCAAGUUCAACCAGCAGCCUGCGAAGAACUCGCUCGCCUGCUAGGAAUGCACCAUAUGCACUGCAUCUGCGGCAUAGACGAGUCAAACACAUGGAAGAGCAGCCUAGACCAGCAAGUCAUGGCUGGGGGCAGCCGAGAGCUGCACUACCCCAACAAAGGCAAAUUCAGGAAGAAGUAGAGAGACUCUUGACCAAGCGAUUGCAUGAUUUCCAACGCAAUGAGGUCACCGACGAGGCACUACGACGGAACAUGACCAACAUAAGCAGGUCACCCUUCACGGACGAGAUCGAGCAGGCAGAGCCUCCACGAGAGUUCAGCAUGCCACAUUUCACAUCUUUCAAAGGGGAUGAAGACCCGGAGAGACACUUAAAGCGCUACCGAAGCGCGAUGAUCCUUUAUCGAAACAACGAUGAGCUCAUGUGCAAGAUAUUCGCCACCACUCUACAAGGCGAGGCGCAAGAUUGGUUCUACACCUUGCCGCCACAAUCCAUCCGGGAUUUCUACGAACUUUCUUUGGUUUUCACCAAAGAAUAUUCAUCCUAUCGCUCGAUCAAAAAGAAGUCUGAUCAUUUGUUCAACGUCAAGAAGAACCCAAAGGAGGCGCUUCGCGACUAUGUGAGGAGGUUCAAAGUAGAGAAGGCAAAAAUAGUCGGAUGCAACGACUCGAUAGCUAGAGCAGCCUUCCAAAAAGGACUUCCAGCAAACCACCCGCUAUUCGGAAAAUUGAUCAUGAAAGAAGAUCUAACUCUGGCAGACUCUUUUGCUUUGGCGGAGAAGUAUGCACUUUGGGAUGAGGCUCGCCAAUGCACAUUCAAGGACUUGAAGAAGUACCCGACAUCACCUCCCUAGAAGCAGCGGAGGACUUAUUCACAUGUUUGACGUUAUCUAAAGUAGCAAUAAGCUCUACCAUCAUGCGAGAAGAUAUGGGGGCCUGACUACCUGUAUUCCACAGUUACCUGUAGUCUACAGUUCAAAAGCUCUCCUCGAUGUUAUUAAAAAUUCAAAAGUUAACUUUGGCGAUAGUUGUUGCAACCUAGAAGCACAAAUUUUACUUUCAAACGCAUGCAAUCAUCCUAAUGACGUACUAUUCUGCCCAAUCCAGACGCGCGACGAUAAAGGCGUAGACCCUGGCGGAUGUAAAGUUUUCUGACGAACGCAACACUGGAAAGACACACUUGAAAGCAAGUUUUGUCCUCGUCACCCUGAAAGAUUCUACAUAGGAGCAACAUGUACCGGCAGUUGAGUACCAUUUCUUGCUGCGCAUCAUACGGCCCUAGCCGACCCUUGCUCAAUGAUUCAACUCUAGAGUGGCCCAAUACCGGCAGUUGAGCAUCUCCUGUUGCGUAUGACAUGGCCCCAUCUCCACAGCUCCCUACUGCGCCUUCACGCCGAGCCUAGGUGACGCAACAGAGCGGCUCAACGAUGCCUCAGAAGUAGCCGAGCACACUCUAGCUGCGCAUACUCCACCCGAUGGAGACUUCUGGCAUUUGCAUGUCGACGGCGCAGAAAAACCUUCAUCACUGCCGGCAGAGAAGGCUCCAAAAAGAUGGAUCCCAUCUGGGAAGGUCCGUACAAGAUCAGCAGAGUAGGGGGCUAGAGUAAUUACACCCUCACCACCAUGAAGCGGUAAAAAGAUUGAAAAAAAAAUGGAUGGCCUACAAUCUGAAGAAGUACCAUGUGUGACCUCCCGCUACAUCAAAACCCGAAAACUCAAUAAGCUCGACGGGCACCACCUCACAAGCUGAGGAUUAUCCAGUUGUUAUGCAGUUCCUACCUUACAGCUAAAGUUCUCGUUCGUUUCACUCGUUUUUCAAUGAGGAAUUUAGAAGUAAUCACAACUUGGCUUGGCUGCAUGCUUACAACAAUUAAUCACUCUUGCACUUCAAAAGAAGACUGCACCCUUCUUAGGGACUCAUCGCAGGAAUUGCGCCCCCCGAGGGACCAACCAUGCUCUCCAGUGUGAGAGGGUAAACCAAUUCUCCGACACCCAUAUGGGUCAGCUCUCCAAGACGGGAGGAUAAACUUUACACUCCGAAUAUCCAGACGUGGAUGAGCCUGGCUGCCCUAGUAUAACUAGAUGCACGAUGGCUUGCGCCGGGAUUCCUAGAAGUAGCCGCAAUGGUCUUUUUCAAGGUUUAGCUAACUGAAGGAUUUUGGGUCUCUUGGCCUAAUCCGUGGGGAACCGGGCCCUAGAGACGGAGAGGGCACAUUACGCAGUAUAUCCGAUGGACGGCUGCCCUGGAAUCCUAAAGCUGCUACCGAGUGCACUAAGGUAGCCUACGGAUUCCGGAAGACUGCCUACGGCUUGCCCUUCGAGCAGUGAAGCCGCACUAGACUUAUACAACCGCACAUUCUUGUGAAAGGUUAGACAAGCUAGCGCGCAUAUAUGAAGUUUUAUCCACUGCCGACAUGCUACGUAGUCGAUAAGCUUCACCCCUGCCAAGCGCGGAACAACCUACACCAAGUCCUAAAGUGUGUGUGAUACUUGCUACGCAACCUACGGAAUUGAAGAAAGUCAAAGUUAACAGCCUAGUGGUUACGCGGACUUGUCUGCUUCUCUGUAAGUAAGGCAUCCGGCUGCCAACCCUAUGGCUAACAACUUUGCAAAGUUCUACACCAACACCUACGGCUGCAUAGGCUACGCGAGUUUGUCUGCUUAUAAAAAAGUAGCAUGCCUGCCACUGGUCUAUCAAGUCUAAAUGUUAGGGCAUGAACAAAAGAAGUGAAGAUGAAGAAAAACGAAGGAAAACAUGUUUAUAAACAACUAGCAAAGGUUGAAGGAGUUCAAGCAAAACAAAAGCUACAAGGAAAAACAAAGAAAAUCCUAAAGGCUACCUAAAAUACUACACUAGCAGCUUGGACAUUCCACGACUACUCGGUCGCCACACCUUCAACAGCCGUAACGCUCUUAGCAGCGGCAUCAUCCGGCGCUUCACCCCCGGCUGCCCCAGUCUGGGCACUAACUUCUCCAACUACUUCACCAAUGGAAGCCUUAAAAGUAAAAGCAAGCAAGUCUUCCGGAGAAAUAGAGAAGCUCAUCCACUUUCUUCUUAGCAUAAGUAGCGAAACGAAGCUCAUAAAUUGCAAGCUUAAGAUCUUGAAUCUGAGGCGAAUCAAUCUCAGCAGCAAAGGGAGCAGGCUUUGGCGCCACUUUAGCAGCAGAGUCCACCUUACCACUUUUCAUAAUAGCAAGUCUCUACAAAGGUGAACCGGACUUGGCUCCCAAAGAACGUCCUACAGACUUCGGCACUGGGGGCAUGAUAAAACCUUUACGCUGAGUAAUCUUAUCCACAAUUGUACUAGCCAUUCUCAACAUGGAAGACGCCACAUGCUCAGAUCUAGCAGCCUUACAUUUCUUCCCAUUGGAAAAUCAUGUCAAUCACAUACCUCUCGGUAGCAAGCGGACCCUCAUGAGCAGCAGAAGAAGUCUUCAGUUUUUUCUUAACUGGCAUCUCAUGAGCAGGCGGGGAAGAUCUCUUCUUUCCAUCUUCAUUCAUAGUAAGCUCCACGACAGCGAUCAGACGAGCCAAUGCAUCCGCCUUGAUCCUCUUUACCUCUUCUUUCUGGAGCAGCCCACCUUUCUUUCGGCAAAGAGGACUAAGCAGCCAACGACAUUCAUGGUACUCAGCAGGGGAGCUCAACCCAGCAUUCCAACAGGCAGGAGGCCUGCAUGCCCAACAUUCCAGCAGCCCAUGAGACCCGCAAUCUCCUUAUUUCUCUCAAUCACCAGCCUAGCCCGAGUCAGGUCCAAGAGCCCAAAGGACAUGAGCCAUGCGGCUCGCCUAGCACUGCGCCCCAGCGCCACAAUCCGCGACCCUAGUUGCACAAGCUGCCUUUUGGCUCAAGCCAAGCCAAGCUGCCCAAGCAGUGGUCCCUGCCACAACAUCUCCUCGGCCCAUGCCGAGCCAACUCCUGGCCCCUGCCAGCCGAUGUGCCGCACCACCCCGACGGCUGCCCCGCAAUAGCACUAUCCAAGAAUAAGGCAAGAAAAAUUAAAUUUUUCUUACAUCGGUGCGGCACGAAGAAGACGAAGAAAGCAACGAAAGACGGUCCUUUGCACGGGCAAGAUGUAGAAGAUUGCUAGAGGAGGGGGAACAAAUAUCCUCUAAGCUAUCUCUCUCUUGUAGGGUAGAAUAAAUCGCUCUCCAAAGUUGAUUUAAUAACCCACUUAAGGUGGACUUAAAUAGGCUUUGAGAGAAAUUUAUUUCCCUUUCCUAGAAGGAUCUAAUUUUCCUAUUAAAGAGAGAAAUCAACAUCAAAAUAGGAAGCAGUCUUAAGUUUCCUAAAGCAAGAAGAUCUCUACACCUGCUGCCCUUUUUUGCGAGCAGCCCAACAGGUGUGGGGGCAUUUGUGGAGCCAAAAAUAUUCACUAGGCGACACGUGGACUUUUGGACAAAAGAGGACAAAAAUACCCUCGAGGCAUACUGGGUUUCCUACACGCGAGCAGUAGAGAAUCAUUUUUUUCAACCAAGUCAAAAGUGCCCAAAAUAUGUAUCAACUUAAAAACCUAAUUUAUUCAUAUAUUUCCCAUUUCAUUAUUUAGCUAAUCAAUUAGCUAAAUAAUAUACUUAUUCCUUUCAUAUUUCAUAAAAUCAUAAUAAUUGACUAAUUAAGGGAUUAAUUACCUAAUCAAUCCCUUAAUUGUCAAUUUGAAACAUCCACUCAAACCUAAAACACACAAGAGGGCCGGCUAUCCCAUUGAAAAACCUAAUCCAUUACCUUUUUUCUACCUUUUCCCACCAUUUCUUCCUUUUUAUUAGCCAAUUAUACAAAAAACCACCAAAACAUUCAUUUUAUGUUUAAUAGCCAAAUAAAUUGGCUAAUUAAACCUAAAAACCCUAGCCACCUCCUAUCCCUAUAAAUAUACUCCCAUUCUCACCAAAAAGCUAAUUCCAACACUUUGGCAAAAAUCCCAAAAUUCUCUAAACACUCUUUCUCUCUAAAUUCUAACUUUGGCAUCGGAGGUUCUUCGGCCAAAGCCCCCCCCCAUUCAUCGUGGGCGCGUGAGGCUCUUGGCCUUAACCUAAGGUGUUAAUUGUUUUGUAGGUGCAAAAUCGUCCAAGAUCGAGGAGGAAGAAAUUUGCAUCCACAUUCCCGGCCAGCGGUUUGUUGUUUCUCAAGUCCAUAUGCGAACAUUAUUAUAUGGAAAAAUUUAUUCCAUAUUUUAGACUGCUAAGAUAACAGCGAUUGCAUACAAUGAAAUCACAAUUAUAAAGAAAUUGAAAGUUGUAAUCAAGAUAUUGCGGUUUACUCUGCUAUAGGUAUGAACAAUUGCGAGACAGAUCAGCAAGAAAGUGAUGCCAAGCAAUUGAAGUUUAUUCCUUUCAAUGUAAUUGUGACAGAGAAGCCAAUCAAUGAGAUAUACUGUGAGCUAAAUGUAUCUGGCAGGAUUCUAGAAUUGAAUAAAAAAAUAGAGUAAAUUGUACAAAUGGUCCCUCAACUUUAAUCAAAUUGGAGCAAUGGUCCCUCAACUAAAAAUUCAUUACUUUUGAUCCCUCAACUUAUCAAAACGUGCAGCUAUGGUCCCUCAACUAAAAAUCCAUUACCAUUGGUCCAUGAACUUUAAUUUAAGUGGAGAAAUAGUCCUUUAACUUUAACCCAAUUGUAGCAAUGGUCAUUCCAAUAUAACUCGUUUUGACAAGUUUUUUGACAUAGUUGACGAAAAUAACCAUAAUUAUACACUUUGAUAAGUUAAGGAACCCUAAUUAUAUAAAUGGUCAUUCCAACAUAGCUUAUUUUGACAAAAUUGAUGAAAAUGACUAUAGCUACCCAUUUUGAUAAGUUGAGGGACCAAUGGUAAUGGAUUUUUAGUUGAGGGACAAUUUCUCCAAUUUAAUUAAAAUUGAGGGACCAUUGGUACAAUUUACUCAAAAAAAUAAGGUAUCGUAGUGUGUAUCAAUUUGAAUUAACUAAUAAAAUACGGCUAGGGAAACUCGUGAUCCGGUCGUCAUCGACUCAUUGACUUUAACAGCUAGAGAAGAAACGCGUGAUCUACUCGUCAUUGACUCAUUACUUCCUUUGUAGCUCAGUGUGAAGAUCAGUGUGAAGAUCAAUCGAGUGUUUCAGUUCUUACAUUACUCUUAGAUACUCGAUCGAUUAAUGGCUGCUGCUGCAACUUCUUCGUCCUCUGGCUCUCCUUGGAAAUACGACGUGUUCCUCAAUUUCAGAGGGGAAGACACUCGCAGGUGCUUCGUCAGCCACCUCUACAAAGCCCUGAAUCAGAAAGCAAUCAACACCUUCAUUGAUGCCGAAGGGCUCCGAAAGGGCAACGACCUUUCGCAGCUACUGACGGCGAUCCAAGAUUCGCGCGUUUCAAUCGUGGUUUUUUCUCAAAAUUAUGCUUCUUCCACAUGGUGCUUGAAGGAGCUCGUCCAAAUACUGGAUUGUAUGGAUCGAAAGAACCAGAUAGUGGUGCCCCUUUUUUACGAUGUGGAUCCUUCUCAUGUCCGCAAAGCAGAGAGCAGCUUUGCGGAAGCUUUUGCCAAGCAUGAAGGCCAUUCUAACGCCGACAUGGAAGAGGUGCGGAGCUGGAGGUCCGCUCUUACUCGAGCCACCAAUUUAUCCGGCUGGGAUUCGAAAAAUUACGAGUAAUUUUUAGCUAUAGUAGUUUCAUAAUUUGGGAUUUUUUUUUCUUUUAACGUUUCGUUUUAAUUCUUUGUCAUGUUUUCCUAGCAAAUGUAUGACUAUGUAUACGGUUUGCACUUGCACUUGAUCUUACUCUUACAAUAAUGUUUUUCUUAUUCCACAGGGAUGAUGCCAUGCUCAUUGAGGAAAUUGUAGAAGAUAUUUUUCAGAAAUUGAUCCGCACCUCAUCAAGUAAAGACGAUGACUUGGUUGAAAUGGAUUCCCGCAUGCAUGAAAUGGAGUUGCUAGUACAACCCUCUCCUGAAAUGGACGACGUUCGUGUUGUUGGAAUAUGGGGUAUGGGUGGUAUUGGCAAAACAACCAUAGCUAGAGCUGUUUAUGAGAAAAUUGCUUGUCAAUUUGAAGCUUGUUGCUUUCUUGACAAUGUCAAGGAAGAGUUCACUUGUGGUGCCGUACAUAUGCAGGAAAAGUUUCUCUCUAGAAUCUUGAAUGAAAAGGUGCAGAGUUUAGGCACAUUAGAUCGAGGUUACAGAAUGAUUUUGAAAAGGUUACAGAUGAAAAAGGUUUUGAUUGUUCUUGAUGAUGUUGACGACUUAUUUCAAAUUGAAACCUUACUUGGAAAGCAACAUUCAUUUGGUGGUGGGAGUAGAAUCAUUCUCACCACUAGAGAUAAGCUAGUACUAAGUCGAGCUGAUACAAUCUACAGCCCCAAGGUUCUAAGUGGUGAUGGAGCUUUGGAACUCUUUAGCCAGUAUGCCUUUAGAACAAAGCAACCCAAAAGAGACUAUGACCAUCUCUCAAGCCGUGCUGUACGAUAUGCUCAAGGUCUCCCUUUAGCACUUAAAGUCUUGGGGGCUUUUCUUUAUAAUAAAUCUGUGCAGGAGUGGGAGGAGAUGCUAGAGAAAUUAAAGAAAAUCCCGCAAAGGGGAAUUCAUGAUGUGUUAAGAACAAGCUUCGAUGGACUAGAUGAUUCUGAGAAGAACAUAUUUCUGGAUAUUGCAUGUUUCUUUAAAGGAGCGGAAAAAGACAACGCAACAAAGGUUCUGGACAGUUGUGGCUUUUAUCCCCAUACUGGGCUAAGAGUUCUAAUUGAUCGAGCUCUUAUAACUGUCUCACGGGAAACACUGAAGAUGCAUGAUUUACUAGAGGAAAUGGGUCGGGAAAUCGUCCGCCAAGAAUCUAUUAAAGAGCCUGGGAAACGCAGUAGGUUGUGGAAUUAUGAAGAUGUUCAUCAUGUGCUAACUCAAAAUACGGUGCGAUAUGUUCAUGACCUUCUUUUUCAUAUGUAAAUCUUUAGAGUAAACAACUUUAACUUUGAUCAAAAUGCAAUUCAUAGAAACAUGCAUUAACUUUAUAAUGUUAAAUAAGAUUCAGGAUAUCUACAGUCACAUAAUUUGAACUAUUUGUUAUCCAGGCUACGGAAGCUGUUGAAAGCAUAAUCCUUGACCUUUCAUUCUCAAAACCAAAAGUGGUAUACUUCAGUUCCGAAGCUUUUGUUAAAAUGACGAAAUUAAGAUUGCUCAAAAUCCACGGCGACAAUGGAUAUUCAUGUGAGAAUUUAAGGUUUGUUCUGCAUGAGUUAAGAAGUCUCAUAUGGAAGCAUUUCCCCCUAAAGUCUUUACCGUCCAAUUUUAUUGCGAAGAAUCUUGUUGAGCUUGACAUGCAAAAUAGUCUCAUUGAACAUCUUUGGGAAGGAGCCAAGGUAAAAACUUCACUUGCAUAUAUUUCUUUUAAAUGGUUUAAUUCUUAGAUGCCUUACCAUAUACCUUGUUUUCCUUGAUGUGUUAUACCAGCCUCUGGAAAAUUUGAAAAUUAUCAACUUAACAAGUUCUCCUCACCUGAAGAAAACUCCUGACUUCACGGAGACGAAAAAUCUUGAGAAGGCAGUUUUUCGAAGUUGUACAAGUUUAUUUGAGGUUCACCCAUCCAUUUCAUCUCUCAAAAAGCUGGUUCUUUUGGAUUUGGAAUAUUGCAUAAAUCUUAAGAUUUUUCCAAGCAAGAUUGUUAUGAAAUCUCUUAGAACCCUUAAACUUUCAUGGUGCGAAAACCUCGAUAAGUUUCCCGAAGUUUCAGAUGUUAUGCAGGAUCUAUCAGAGCUUUAUUUAGAUUAUACUGAAAUUAAAGAACUGCCCUCGUCAAUUUGUAAUCUUACGAGGCUUGUUACCUUGAAUCUAAACGGUUGCAAAAAGUUUAAGAGUCUUCCAAGGCGUAUUUCUCACUUGAAAUCUCUUAAAAGCCUCCAUGCUUCUCAAUGCUCAAGUCUUGAGAAGUUUCCAAAAAUUUCAGAGGCUAUGAAUAAUCUAUCUGAGCUUUAUUUGGGUGACACUGCAAUUAAGGAGCUGCCUGCUUCUAUUUUGAAUCUCACCAGUGUUGUUACUUUGAAUCUGAAUGAUUGCAGAGAACUUGAGAGUCUUCCAAGCAGCAUUUCUCACAUGAAAUCUCUUCAAUGCCUUGAUGUUUCUGGAUGCUCAAAGCUUGAGAAGUUUCCAGAAAUUUCAGAGGUUAUGAAGAAGCUAUCUGUGCUUUGUUUGGGUGGCACUGGAAUUAAGGAGCUGCCUGCUUCUAUUUUAAAUCUCACCAGUGUUGUUACUUUGAAUCUGAAUGAUUGCAGAGAACUGGAGAGUCUUCCAAGCAGCAUUUCUCACAUGAAAUCUCUUGAAUACCUUGAUGUUUCUAGAUGCACAAAGCUUGAGAAGUUUCCAGAAAUUUCAGAGGUUAUGAAAAAGCUAUCUGGGCUUUAUUUGGGUGGCACUACAAUUAAAGAGCUGCCUGCUUCUAUUUUAAAUCUCACCAGCCUUGUUACUUUGAAGCUGAAUGGUUGCAGAGAACUUGAGAGUCUUCCAAGCAGUAUUUCUCACAUGAAAUCUCUUCAAUACCUUGAUGUUUCUAGAUGCUCAAAGCUUGAGAAGUUUCCAGAAAUUUCAGAGGUUAUGAAGAAGCUAUCUGGGCUUUAUUUGGGUGGCACUACAAUUAAAG
This 23867-nucleotide long non-coding RNA is filed under the name Malus domestica (apple). RNAcentral describes it as "long non-coding RNA (MDOM_LNC018186)". Lineage: Eukaryota; Viridiplantae; Streptophyta; Magnoliopsida; Rosales; Rosaceae. The record is from RNAcentral.